CCUACGGGUGGCAGCAGUGGGGGAUAUUGCACAAUGGGGGGAACCCUGAUGCAGCGACGCCGCGUGGGUGAAGAAGCGCCUCGGCGCGUAAAGCCCUUUCAUCAGAGAAGAUAAUGACGGUAUCUGACGAAUAAGCCCCGGCUAACUACGUGCCAGCAGCCGCGGUAAUACGGAGGGGGCAAGCGUUAUCCGGAUUUACUGGGGGUAAAGGGGGCGCAGACGGGGAUGCAAGCCAGGUGUGAAAGCCCGGGGCCCAACCCUGGGACUGCACUUGGAACUGCGUGGCUGGAGUGCAGGAGGGGCAGGCGGAAUUCUUGGUGUAGGGGUGAAAUGCGUAGAUAUCAGGAGGAACACUGGUGGCGAAGGCGGCCUGCUGGACUGCAACUGACGUUGAGGCCCGAAAGCGUGGGGAGCAAACAGGAUUAGAUACCCGAGUAGUC
This 440-nucleotide ribosomal RNA is filed under the name uncultured bacterium. Its description in RNAcentral is "partial 16S ribosomal RNA". It matches the Rfam family "Bacterial small subunit ribosomal RNA", at positions 338 to 795 of the family's 1533-position model. The record is from RNAcentral.